GGUUGUGGCUCAGUGGUAGAGGGCUUGCCUCCUAUGCUUGAGGCCCUGGGUUCAGUCCCCAGCACCA
This 67-nucleotide transfer RNA is filed under the name Marmota monax (woodchuck). RNAcentral describes it as "tRNA.Arg". It matches the Rfam family "tRNA". Rfam says of the family: Transfer RNA (tRNA) molecules are approximately 80 nucleotides in length. Their secondary structure includes four short double-helical elements and three loops (D, anti-codon, and T loops). Further hydrogen bonds mediate the characteristic L-shaped molecular structure. tRNAs have two regions of fundamental functional importance: the anti-codon, which is responsible for specific mRNA codon recognition, and the 3' end, to which the tRNAs corresponding amino acid is attached (by aminoacyl-tRNA synthetases). tRNAs cope with the degeneracy of the genetic code in two manners: having more than one tRNA (with a specific anti-codon) for a particular amino acid; and 'wobble' base-pairing, i.e. permitting non-standard base-pairing at the 3rd anti-codon position. The record is from RNAcentral. Lineage: Eukaryota; Metazoa; Chordata; Mammalia; Rodentia; Sciuridae.